AACGAACGCUGGCGGCAUGCCUAACACAUGCAAGUCGAACGAGACCUUCGGGUCUAGUGGCGCACGGGUGCGUAACGCGUGGGAACCUGCCCUUAGGUUCGGAAUAACUCCCCGAAAGGGGUGCUAAUACCGGAUAAUGUCUUCGGACCAAAGAUUUAUCGCCUUUGGAUGGGCCCGCGUUGGAUUAGCUAGUUGGUAGGGUAAAAGCCUACCAAGGCGACGAUCCAUAGCUGGUGUGAGAGGAUGAUCAGCCGCACUGGGACUGAGACACGGCCCAGAAUCCUACGGGAGGCAGCAGUGGGGAAUAUUGGACAAUGGGCGAAAGCGUGAUCCAGCCAUGCGGCGUGAGUGAUGAAGGCCUUAGGGUUGUAAAGCUCUUUUACCCGGGAUGAUAAUGACAGUACCGGGAGAAUAAGCUCCGGCUAACUCCGUG
RNAcentral lists this ribosomal RNA (433 nucleotides) under uncultured bacterium. Its description in RNAcentral is "partial 16S ribosomal RNA". It matches the Rfam family "Bacterial small subunit ribosomal RNA", at positions 29 to 507 of the family's 1533-position model. The record is from RNAcentral.